CCUACGCUUGACCUCGAAUUAGGUAAGGAUACCCGCUGAACUUAAGCAUAUCAAUAAGCGGAGGAAAAGAAACCAACAGGGAUUGCCUCAGUAACGGCGAGUGAAGCGGCAACAGCUCAAAUUUGAAAUCUGGCGUCCUCGACGUCCGAGUUGUAAUUUGCAGAGGAUACUUCGGCAUCGGUGCCGCUCCAGGUUCUUUGGAACAGGACGCCACAGAGGGUGAGAGCCCCGUCUCUGGGCGGUGCCAGAUGCCAUGUGAAGUGCCUUCGACGAGUCGAGUUGUUUGGGAAUGCAGCUCUAAAUGGGAGGUAAAUUUCUUCCAAAGCUAAAUACAGGUUGGAGACCGAUAGCGCACAAGUAGAGUGAUCGAAAGAUGAAAAGUACUUUGGAAAGAGAGUCAAACAGCGCGUGAAAUUGUUAAAAGGGAAGCGCUUGCAGUCAGACUUGGCCGCCCGGUUCGGCCGUCCCUCGUGGACGGUCUCCGCCGUGGCGGGCAGGCCAGCAUUACCUUGGGCGGGUGGAUAAAGGCUGCGGGAAUGUGGCACCUCUCGGGGUGUGUUAUAGCCCGCGGCACAAUACAUCCUGCCCGGGGUAAGGAACGCGCUUCGGCUCGGAUGCUGGCGUAAUGGCUGCAAGCGGCCCGUCUUGAAACACGGACCAAGGAGUCUAACAUCUGUGCGAGUGUUUGGGUGUCAAGCCCUUACGCGCAAUGAAAGUGAACGGAGGUGGGAGCCCUCGGGCGCACCAUCGACCGAUCCUGAUGUCUUCGGAAGGAUUUGAGUAAGAGCACAGCUGUUGGGACCCGAAAGAUGGUGAACUAUGCCUAAGCAGGGUGAAGCCAGAGGAAACUCUGGUGGAGGCUCGCAGCGGUUCUGACGUGCAAAUCGAUCGUCAAAUUUGGGUAUAGGGGCGAAAGACUAAUCGAACC
This 928-nucleotide ribosomal RNA is filed under the name Radulidium epichloes. Its description in RNAcentral is "partial 28S large subunit ribosomal RNA". It matches the Rfam family "Eukaryotic large subunit ribosomal RNA", at positions 1 to 941 of the family's 3401-position model. Lineage: Eukaryota; Fungi; Ascomycota; Dothideomycetes; Acrospermales; Acrospermaceae. The record is from RNAcentral.